CAUGUGGCCACUUGUGAUGCAAGACAGAGGCAGGACUGAGAAGACGAGAGGUGGGCUUCGUUCCUGAGAAUAUCCAGGAGUCCAAGAGAUCUAAAUUGGAAGAUGGCCUUCCAAUUUAGGCAUGGACAUUCACUUUUGCAGAUGAGGAAACAAGAAUUCAGAGUUGAUUUGCACAUACGAAGCAAAACAAGUGAGAUCCAAGCCUCCAGACUCUACAACAGAUGCUUCCAAUAUCUAUGUCUAAUGAAGUAAACUACUCUGAAAAUCAAAAUGUGUA
This 277-nucleotide long non-coding RNA is filed under the name Homo sapiens (human). Its description in RNAcentral is "HSALNT0323753". Lineage: Eukaryota; Metazoa; Chordata; Mammalia; Primates; Hominidae. The record is from RNAcentral.